This 551-nucleotide ribosomal RNA is filed under the name uncultured Glomeromycotina. Its description in RNAcentral is "SSU rRNA". It matches the Rfam family "Eukaryotic small subunit ribosomal RNA", at positions 548 to 1098 of the family's 1831-position model. Lineage: Eukaryota; Fungi; Glomeromycota. The record is from RNAcentral.
UUGGAGGGCAAGUCUGGUGCCAGCAGCCGCGGUAAUUCCAGCUCCAAUAGCGUAUAUUAAAGUUGUUGCAGUUAAAAAGCUCGUAGUUGAAUUUCGGAGUUUGUCGGUUGGUCGGGCUUCACUGUCCGCACUGGCCUGAUGGAUUCCUACCUUCUGAAUAACCAGCAUGCUGUUAAGUUAGUGCGUUGGGGAAGCAGAGCUAUUACCUUGAAAAAAUUAGAGUGCUUAAAGCAGGCUUUUGCUUGAAUAGAUUAGCAUGGAAUAAUAAAAUAGGACGGCAUGGUUCUAUUUUGUUGGUUUCUAGGAUCACCGUAAUGAUUAAUAGGGAUAGUUGGGGGCAUUAGUAUUCAAUUGUCAGAGGUGAAAUUCUUGGAUUUAUUGAAGACUAACUUCUGCGAAAGCAUUUGCCAAGGAUGUUUUCAUUAAUCAAGAACGAAAGUUAGGGGAUCGAAGACGAUCAGAUACCGUCGUAGUCUUAACCAUAAACUAUGCCGACUAGGGAUCGAACGAUGUUAAUUUUUUAAUGACACAUUCGGCGGCUUACGGGAAAC